RNAcentral lists this transfer RNA (73 nucleotides) under Dermacentor andersoni. RNAcentral describes it as "transfer RNA tyrosine (anticodon GUA)". It matches the Rfam family "tRNA". From Rfam's summary of the family: Transfer RNA (tRNA) molecules are approximately 80 nucleotides in length. Their secondary structure includes four short double-helical elements and three loops (D, anti-codon, and T loops). Lineage: Eukaryota; Metazoa; Arthropoda; Arachnida; Ixodida; Ixodidae. The record is from RNAcentral.
CCGUCGAGAGCUCAGUUGGUAGAGCGGUGGACUGUAGAUCCAUAGGUCGCUGGUUCAAAUCCGGCUCGACGGA